UAUACUGAAGGGAAGACUCAUGCUGUAUGCUUCUGAUUCAUGUUGAAAGUGUGUAACCUGUUUGCCGCAAUUUUUCCUUUUCACAUAAUAGGAAAAGGUCAGUAACAAAAAAAGGAAGCUCACUGAGCACGUCAAUACAGAUUACCUGACGAAAGCCCAGGCGAUGAAUAGGAUAAUCAAGUUGAGAUCCCACCGAGGACGUAUAAUGGCUGAAUGAACUUCUGAUCCACGCUUUGGCAAUCCCGUGCCUCCAGGUGUGUAGGUUCAAAAGAUAAAUGGAUGAUUAUAUGGGCGCGUGGCAAAUAUACUGAUGAUGAUGAUGAUGAUGAUGAUGAUGAUGAUGAUGAUGCUGGAUGCUUUCAAUUUUAGUUCAGUUGUAGGAAUGAUGUUCCUCUAUUAAGUUUAAGUGAUGUUGAGGGAUACUUUCGGUUUUUGUUUUGUUGUCAAGAAAAUAUAUAGAUUAUGCAUCACAUUUGGAUGAUGUUCCUCCUGUAAUAUCCAUUGUUGUAAUCCAACAAUUAUAUAUAUAUAUAGAUUUCUUCCUCC
Molecule: non-coding RNA, 546 nt
Organism: Triticum urartu
Lineage: Eukaryota; Viridiplantae; Streptophyta; Magnoliopsida; Poales; Poaceae
Source: RefSeq, a predicted model, not a curated record